This 18-nucleotide small nuclear RNA is filed under the name Arabidopsis thaliana (thale cress). RNAcentral's name for it is "snRNA_09767". The record is from RNAcentral. Lineage: Eukaryota; Viridiplantae; Streptophyta; Magnoliopsida; Brassicales; Brassicaceae.
GCGUGUCACCGAAAGCGU